CCCCUGGUGGCUGAGAGGGUAAAGCAUCUGCCUGUGAUGCCUGUGAUGCAGGAGACCCAGGUUCGAUCCCUGGGUCGGGAA
This 81-nucleotide transfer RNA is filed under the name Bos indicus (zebu cattle). It matches the Rfam family "tRNA". Rfam says of the family: Transfer RNA (tRNA) molecules are approximately 80 nucleotides in length. Their secondary structure includes four short double-helical elements and three loops (D, anti-codon, and T loops). The record is from Rfam by way of RNAcentral. Lineage: Eukaryota; Metazoa; Chordata; Mammalia; Artiodactyla; Bovidae. RNAcentral also lists the same sequence under 1 other name.